GAUGAACGCUAGCGGCAGGCUUAACACAUGCAAGUCGAGGGGCAGCGCGGGAUAGCAAUAUCCUGGCGGCGACCGGCGGAAGGGUGCGUAACGCGUGAGCGACAUGCCCGUUGCCCGGGGACAACCGGUGGAAACGCCGACUAAUCCCCGAUGGGAUAUUGUGCCGCAUGGCACGAUAUUGAAAGUUACGGCGGCGACGGAUUGGCUCGCGUCCGAUUAGCUUGUUGGCGGGGUAACGGCCCACCAAGGCUGCGAUCGGUAGGGGUUCUGAGAGGAAGGCCCCCCACAAUGGGACUGAGACACGGCCCAUACUCCUACGGGAGGCAGCAGUGAGGAAUAUUGGUCAAUGGGCGGAAGCCUGAACCAGCCAUGCCGCGUGCGGGAAGGAGGCCCUAUGGGCUGUGAACCGCUUUUGCCUGGGGCAAUAAGGGCGUCGCGCACGUCCGAUGAGAGUACCAGGCGAAUAAGCAUCGGCUAACUCCGUG
This 485-nucleotide ribosomal RNA is filed under the name uncultured bacterium. Its description in RNAcentral is "partial 16S ribosomal RNA". It matches the Rfam family "Bacterial small subunit ribosomal RNA", at positions 28 to 507 of the family's 1533-position model. The record is from RNAcentral.